RNAcentral lists this ribosomal RNA (1631 nucleotides) under uncultured bacterium. RNAcentral's name for it is "bacterial SSU rRNA". It matches the Rfam family "Bacterial small subunit ribosomal RNA". The record is from RNAcentral.
AUUGAACGCUGGCGGCAUGCCUUACACAUGCAAGUCGAACGGUAACAGGUCUUCGGAUGCUGACGAGUGGCGAACGGGUGAGUAAUACAUCGGAACGUGCCCGANCGUGGGGGAUAACGCAGCGAAAGCUGUGCUAAUACCGCAUACGAUCUACGGAUGAAAGCGGGGGAUCGCAAGACCUCGCGCGGACGGAGCGGCCGAUGGCAGAUUAGGUAGUUGGUGGGAUAAAAGCUUACCAAGCCGACGAUCUGUAGCUGGUCUGAGAGGACGACCAGCCACACUGGGACUGAGACACGGCCCAGACUCCUACGGGAGGCAGCAGUGGGGAAUUUUGGACAAUGGGCGCAAGCCUGAUCCAGCCAUGCCGCGUGCAGGAUGAAGGCCUUCGGGUUGUAAACUGCUUUUGUACGGAACGAAAAAGCUCUCUCUAAUACAGGGGGUGAAUGACGGUACCGUAAGAAUAAGCACCGGCUAACUACGUGCCAGCAGCCGCGGUAAUACGUAGGGUGCAAGCGUUNUUCGGAAUUACUGGGCGUAAAGCGUGCGCAGGCGGUUAUGUAAGACAGAGGUGAAAUCCCCGGGCUCAACCUGGGAACUGCCUUUGUGACUGCAUAGCUGGAGUGCGGCAGAGGGGGAUGGAAUUCCGCGUGUAGCAGUGAAAUGCGUAGAUAUGCGGAGGAACACCGAUGGCGAAGGCAAUCCCCUGGGCCUGCACUGACGCUCAUGCACGAAAGCGUGGGGAGCAAACAGGAUUAGAUACCCUCUUUAGUCCACGCCCUAAACGAUGUCAACUGGGUGGUUGGGUCUUCACUUGACUCAAAUGGGUANAUAUGCGAAGGAACNCCGAUGGNGAAGGCAAUUCCCCUGGGCCUGCACUGACGNUCAUGCACGAAAGCGUGGGGAGCAAACAGNAUUAGAUACCNUGGUAGUCCACGCCCUAAACGAUGUCAACUGGUUGUUGGGUCUUCACUGACUCAGUAACGAAGCUAACGCGUGAAGUUGACCGCNUGGGGAGUACGNCCGCAAGGUUAAAACUCAAAGGAAUUGACGGGGACCCGCACAAGCGGUGGAUGAUGUGGUUUAAUUCGAUGCAACGCGAAAAACCUUACCCACCUUUGACAUGUACGGAAUCCUUUAGAGAUAGAGGAGUGCUCGAAAGAGAGCCGUAACACAGGUGCUGCAUGGCUGUCGUCAGCUCGUGUCGUGAGAUGUUGGGUUAAGUCCCGCAACGAGCACAACCCUUGCCAUUAGUUGCUACGAAAGGGCACUCUAAUGGGACUGCCGGUGACAAACCGGAGGAAGGUGGGGAUGACGUCAAGUCCUCAUGGCCCUUAUAGGUGGGGCUACACACGUCAUACAAUGGCUGGUACAAAGGGUUGCCAACCCGCGAGGGGGAGCCAAUCCCACAAAGCCAGUCGUAGUCCGGAUCGCAGUCUGCAACUCGACUGCGUGAAGUCGGAAUCGCUAGUAAUCGUGGAUCAGAAUGUCACGGUGAAUACGUUCCCGGGUCUUGUACACACCGCCCGUCACACCAUGGGAGCGGGUUCUGCCAGAAGUAGGUAGCCUAACCGUAAGGAGGGCGCUUACCACGGCAGGGUUCGUGACUGGGGUGAAGUCGUAACAAGGUAACC